UACGUAGGUGGCAAGCGUUGUCCGGAUUUAUUGGGUUUAAAGGGUGCGUAGGCGGCUUUGUAAGUCAGUGGUGAAAUAUGGCAGCUCAACUGUCAGGGUGCCAUUGAUACUGCGGAGCUUGAGUACAGAUGAGGUAGGCGGAAUUGACGGUGUAGCGGUGAAAUGCUUAGAUAUCGUCAAGAACACCUAUAGCGAAGGCAGCUUACUAGGCUGUAACUGACGCUGAGGCACGAAAGUGUGGGGAUCAAACAGG
RNAcentral lists this ribosomal RNA (253 nucleotides) under uncultured bacterium. Its description in RNAcentral is "partial 16S ribosomal RNA". It matches the Rfam family "Bacterial small subunit ribosomal RNA", at positions 524 to 776 of the family's 1533-position model. The record is from RNAcentral.